This 570-nucleotide ribosomal RNA is filed under the name Campylobacter coli. Its description in RNAcentral is "partial 23S ribosomal RNA". It matches the Rfam family "Bacterial large subunit ribosomal RNA", at positions 614 to 1188 of the family's 2925-position model. RNAcentral also lists the same sequence under 1 other name. The record is from RNAcentral. Lineage: Bacteria; Pseudomonadati; Campylobacterota; Epsilonproteobacteria; Campylobacterales; Campylobacteraceae.
AAUGAGCCUGCGAGUUGUGGUGUCUGGCAAGGUUAAGCAAACGCGAAGCCGUAGCGAAAGCGAGUCUGAAUAGGGCGCUUAGUCAGAUGCUGCAGACCCGAAACGAAGUGAUCUAUCCAUGAGCAAGUUGAAGCUAGUGUAAGAACUAGUGGAGGACUGAACCCAUAGGCGUUGAAAAGCCCCGGGAUGACUUGUGGAUAGGGGUGAAAGGCCAAUCAAACUUCGUGAUAGCUGGUUCUCUCCGAAAUAUAUUUAGGUAUAGCGUUGUGUCGUAAUAUAAGGGGGUAGAGCACUGAAUGGGCUAGGGCAUACACCAAUGUACCAAACCCUAUCAAACUCCGAAUACCUUAUAUGUAAUCACAGCAGUCAGGCGGCGAGUGAUAAAAUCCGUCGUCAAGAGGGAAACAACCCAGACUACCAGCUAAGGUCCCUAAAUCUUACUUAAGUGGAAAACGAUGUGAAGUUACUUAAACAACCAGGAGGUUGGCUUAGAAGCAGCCAUCCUUUAAAGAAAGCGUAAUAGCUCACUGGUCUAGUGAUUUUGCGCGGAAAAUAUAACGGGGCUAAAGU